This is a long non-coding RNA of Pseudophryne corroboree (corroboree frog), 531 nucleotides long. RefSeq lists it as uncharacterized. The transcript is spliced from 6 exons. The record is from RefSeq and is a predicted model, not a curated record. NCBI's taxonomy places the organism in Eukaryota, Metazoa, Chordata, Amphibia, Anura, Myobatrachidae.
CAUAAUUGUAGCCUCUUUCCACAAAGUUCUGAAUCAUGCUAUCAAUAUGGACAAUAGCAGUUUCCUUAGUGCUAUAUGUACGCACAGCUCGUAGAAAUUGGGAGUAAGCUGUCUACACUGUGCAAGGAAGGCGUACUGAAUCUACGGCACCGUGUCAACAUAGCCAAGAGAACGUUUUUUUUCUUAACUUUCAAUCUGGACUGUAGCUGAGGUCCGUGGCCGGAGACCCGUCGAGCCGCACCAGAUCCCUGGAGACAGCGUCAGCUGUCUACACUGUGCAAGGAAGGCGUACUGAAUCUACGGCACCGUGUCAACAUAGCCAAGAGAACGUUUUUUUUCUUAACUUUCAAUCUGGACUGUAGCUGAGGUCCGUGGCCGGAGACCCGUCGAGCCGCACCAGAUCCCUGGAGACAGCGUCAGGAUUUAAAGUAUAACACCAUCAGAAGAAGCAAAAUUCCAGAUGUCGUUCUAUACAGUAUAUUAUUACCCUGAUUAGUGUCACUUGCUGUGUUCAGUAUUUAUAAUAAUAAA